AUGGCCCGCCGCCGCCCCCAGCCUUCGCCUCCGAGGUCUCCGUGGCAGAGGCAAAAACAAAGAUGGCAGGCCGUUCCGGCCGUCGACCCCGUUAGCGCGGUGACGUACGUCACUUCCUCUCAAAGUCUAUUGGCCAGAACUAGUCACAUGGCCUGCCUAGCUGCAAGGGAGGCUGGAAACAGGAGCCGGCCUUUCGUCCUGGAUGAGGAUGUGCCGGCUGCUGGGAGCCACCUGGAAGGGGCCAGCGCUGGCAGGGAGGCCUUUGAUGUGAUUCACUGGAAGCUUGAUGCCUGCGCAGAGGUAUUCUGUAGCAGGCCAAGCCCUUUCAUCUCGGCAAAGAGAGACACCCCCUCACAUGGCAGGCCCACCUGGAAGACAGACAGCCCAGAGCCAGAGGGUCAGUUGAGGACCACGGAAUGGGAGGGGCCUGGAGGUGGGAGCAGGUGA
This 447-nucleotide long non-coding RNA is filed under the name Vulpes vulpes (red fox). RNAcentral describes it as "lncRNA (ENSVVUG00000022888.1)". Lineage: Eukaryota; Metazoa; Chordata; Mammalia; Carnivora; Canidae. The record is from RNAcentral.